Molecule: ribosomal RNA, 465 nt
Filed under: uncultured bacterium
Lineage: Bacteria
Description: partial 16S ribosomal RNA
Rfam family: Bacterial small subunit ribosomal RNA
Source: RNAcentral
CCUACGGGAGGCAGCAGUGGGGAAUAUUGCUCAAUGGGCGAAAGCCUGACGCAGCGACGCCGCGUGCGGGAUGAAGGUCCUCGGAUCGUAAACCUCUGUCAGCAGGGAAGAACGGUCACUGUGCUAAUCAGCAGUGAAUUGACGGUACCUGCAAAGGAAGCACCGGCUAACUCCGUGCCAGCAGCCGCGGUAAUACGGAGGGUGAGAGCGUUAAUCGGACUUACUGGGCGUAAAGCGCUCGUAGGCGGUAUGGAAAGUCAAGGGUGAAAUCCCCGGGCUCAACGUGGGAACUGCCUUUGAAACUGGCAAACUGGAGUGUGUGAGAGGAUAGUGGAAUUCCAGGUGUAGGGGUGAAAUGCGUAGAUAUCUGGAGGAACAUCAGUGGCGAAGGCGACUAUCUGGCACAUAACUGACGCUGAGGAGCGAAAGCGUGGGUAGCAAACAGGAUUAGAUACCCGAGUAGUC